GACGAACGCUGGCGGCGUGCUUAACACAUGCAAGUCGAACGGUGAAGCGCCUUCCUUUUUGGUGGGUGUGGAUGAGUGGCGAACGGGUGAGUAACACGUGAGUAACCUGCCCCCUUCUUCUGGAUAACCGCAUGAAAGUGUGGCUAAUACGGGAUAUUCUGGGUCUGUCGCAUGAUGGGUCUGGGAAAGAUAUUGUUUCGGUGGGGGAUGGGCUCGCGGCCUAUCAGCUUGUUGGUGGGGUGAUGGCCUACCAAGGCGGUGACGGGUAGCCGGCCUGAGAGGGUGGACGGUCACACUGGGACUGAGACACGGGCCAGACUCCUACGGGAGGCAGCAGUGGGGAAUAUUGCACAAUGGGCGCAAGCCUGAUGCAGCGACGCCGCGUGAGGGAUGGAGGCCUUCGGGUUGUGAACCUCUUUCGCCAGUGAAGCAGGCCUGCCUCGUUUGUGGGUGGGUUGACGGUAGCUGGAUAAGAAGCGCCGGCUAACUACGU
Molecule: ribosomal RNA, 493 nt
Filed under: uncultured bacterium
Lineage: Bacteria
Description: partial 16S ribosomal RNA
Rfam family: Bacterial small subunit ribosomal RNA
Source: RNAcentral